RNAcentral lists this ribosomal RNA (482 nucleotides) under uncultured bacterium. RNAcentral describes it as "bacterial SSU rRNA". It matches the Rfam family "Bacterial small subunit ribosomal RNA", at positions 30 to 506 of the family's 1533-position model. The record is from RNAcentral.
UUGAACGCUGGCGGCAUGCUUUACACAUGCAAGUCGAACGGCAGCGGGGGCUUCGGCCUGCCGGCGAGUGGCGAACGGGUGAGUAAUGCAUCGGAACGUGCCCAGUCAUGGGGGAUAACUACGCGAAAGCGUAGCUAAUACCGCAUACGCCCUGAGGGGGAAAGCGGGGGAUCGCAAGACCUCGCGUGAUUGGAGCGGCCGAUGUCGGAUUAGCUAGUUGGUGGGGUAAAGGCUCACCAAGGCGACGAUCUGUAGCUGGUCUGAGAGGACGACCAGCCACACUGGAACUGAGACACGGUCCAGACUCCUACGGGAGGCAGCAGUGGGGAAUUUUGGACAAUGGGCGCAAGCCUGAUCCAGCAAUGCCGCGUGCAGGAUGAAGGCCUUCGGGUUGUAAACUGCUUUUGUACGGAACGAAAAGACUCCUUCUAAUAAAGGGGGUUCAUGACGGUACCGUAAGAAUAAGCACCGGCUAACUACGU